This 371-nucleotide ribosomal RNA is filed under the name uncultured organism. RNAcentral describes it as "partial 16S ribosomal RNA". It matches the Rfam family "Bacterial small subunit ribosomal RNA", at positions 527 to 896 of the family's 1533-position model. The record is from RNAcentral.
GGAGGAGGCAAGCGUUGUUCGGAAUCACUGGGCUUAAAGAGCGUGUAGGCGGGGCGGCCAGUAUCUUGUGAAAACCCUCGGCUCAACCGAGGAACUGCAGGGUAUACUGCCGCCCUUGAGUCAAGCAGGGGCAUCUGGAACCCUAGGUGGAGCGGUGAAAUGCGUUGAUAUCUAGGGGAACGCCCGUGGCGAAAGCGGGAUGCUGGGCUUGUACUGACGCUGAGACGCGAAAGCGUAGGGGAGCAAACGGGAUUAGAUACCCCGGUAGUCUACGCUGUAAACGAUGCGCACUAGGCUCGAGGCUUCUGACGAACUUUGAGCCGAAGCAAAAGUAUUAAGUGCGCCGCCCUGGGAGUACGGCCGCAAGGCUA